This 753-nucleotide ribosomal RNA is filed under the name uncultured Comamonadaceae bacterium. Its description in RNAcentral is "bacterial SSU rRNA". It matches the Rfam family "Bacterial small subunit ribosomal RNA", at positions 28 to 776 of the family's 1533-position model. The record is from RNAcentral. Lineage: Bacteria; Pseudomonadati; Pseudomonadota; Betaproteobacteria; Burkholderiales; Comamonadaceae.
AUUGAACGCUGGCGGCAUGCCUUACACAUGCAAGUCGAACGGCAGCACGGGAGCAAUCCUGGUGGCGAGUGGCGGACGGGUGAGUAAUACAUCGGAACGUGCCCAAUCGUGGGGGAUAACGCAGCGAAAGCUGUGCUAAUACCGCAUACGAUCUACGGAUGAAAGCAGGGGAUCGCAAGACCUUGCGCGAAUGGAGCGGCCGAUGGCAGAUUAGGUAGUUGGUGAGGUAAAGGCUCACCAAGCCGUCGAUCUGUAGCUGGUCUGAGAGGACGACCAGCCAAACUGGGACUGAGACACGGCCCAGACUCCUACGGGAGGCAGCAGUGGGGAAUUUUGGACAAUGGGCGAAAGCCUGAUCCAGCCAUGCCGCGUGCAGGAUGAAGGCCUUCGGGUUGUAAACUGCUUUUGUACGGAACGAAACGGCCUUUUCUAAUAAAGAGGGCUAAUGACGGUACCGUAAGAAUAAGCACCGGCUAACUACGUGCCAGCAGCCGCGGUAAUACGUAGGGUGCAAGCGUUAAUCGGAAUUACUAGGCGUAAAGCGUGCGCAGGCGGUUAUGUAAGACAGUUGUGAAAUCCCCGGGCUCAACCUGGGAACUGCAUCUGUGACUGCAUAGCUAGAGUACGGUAGAGGGGGAUGGAAUUCCGCGUGUAGCAGUGAAAUGCGUAGAUAUGCGGAGGAACACCGAUGGCGAAGGCAAUCCCCUGGACCUGUACUGACGCUCAUGCACGAAAGCGUGGGGAGCAAACAGG